UUAGAGGAAGUAAAAGUCGUAACAAGGUUUCCGUAGGUGAACCUGCGGAAGGAUCAUUAUCGUAUAAUGAGGGCACCUAGGGCUGUCGCUGACCUUUACACGUCGUGCACGCCCAAAGUGGCCUCCUACAUCCAUCUCACCCCUUUGUGCAUCACCGCGCGGGCCCCUUUUGGACUUGUUCUGAUCUGAGGCUUUGCGUUUUUAUUACAAUCACCUUUUAAUGCAUGUAUAGAAUGUCUUUGCGAUCAAUAUAACUUUCAACAACGGAUCUCUUGGCUCUCGCAUCGAUGAAGAACGCAGCGAAAUGCGAUACGUAAUGUGAAUUGCAGAAUUCAGUGAAUCAUCGAAUCUUUGAACGCACCUUGCGCCCCUUGGUAUUCCGAGGGGCACACCCGUUUGAGUGUCGUGAACACCCUCAACCUUUUUGGUUUCUUAACCAAGAAGGCUUGGAUUUUGGAGGUUCUCUUUGCUGGCUUUCAUUUGCAAGUCAGCUCCUCCUAAAUAAAUUAGUGGGAUCCGCUUUGCAGAUCCUUGACGUGAUAAGUAUGCUUCUACGUCUUGGGUUUUGCACUGUCACAAGGACCUGCUUCCAACGGUCUUCAAAUGAAGACGACGUUCGAGUUGCGGCUCGACCUUACCGACCUUGACCUCAAAUCGGGUGAGACUACCCGCUGAACUUAAGCAUAUCAAUAAGCGGAGGAAAAGAAACUAACAAGGAUUCCCCUAGUAACUGCGAGUGAAGCGGGAAAAGCUCAAAUUUAAAAUCUGGUGGCCUUUGGCCAUCCGAGUUGUAAUUUAGAGAAGCGUCUUCCGCGCUGGACCGUGUACAA
Molecule: ribosomal RNA, 830 nt
Filed under: Russula sp.
Lineage: Eukaryota; Fungi; Basidiomycota; Agaricomycetes; Russulales; Russulaceae
Description: eukaryotic LSU rRNA
Rfam family: 5.8S ribosomal RNA (bases 253-406)
Source: RNAcentral